RNAcentral lists this ribosomal RNA (368 nucleotides) under uncultured organism. RNAcentral's name for it is "bacterial LSU rRNA". It matches the Rfam family "Bacterial large subunit ribosomal RNA", at positions 2099 to 2465 of the family's 2925-position model. The record is from RNAcentral.
CUUUACUGUAGCCUGGAAUUGGGUUCGGGCUUUAACUGCGCAGGAUAGGUGGGAGGCUAUGAAGAUUUCCUUCCGGGGAAGUUGGAGCCAUCAGUGAGAGACCACUCUGGAGAGGCUAGAAUCCCAAUGGUGAUCCUUGAAUCAGGACACUUGACAGUUUCAGGUGGGCAGUUUUUCUGGGGCGGAAGCCUCAUAAAGGGUAACUGAGGCGCGCAAAGGUCCCCUCAGUCUGGACGGAAAUCAGACAACGAGUGUAAAGGCAAAAGGGGGCUUGACUGCAAGACCUACAAGUCGAGCAGGAGCGAAAGCUGGCCUUAGUGAUCCGACGGUACCGUGUGGAAGGGCCGUCGCUCAACGAAUAAAAGUUA